AAUAUUGCGCAAUGGAGGGAACUCUGACGCAGCGACGCCGCGUGAGUGAUGAAGGUCUACGGAUCGUAAAGUUCUGUCCUUGGGGAAGAAGAUCUUCGGAUUUGACGGUACCCAAGGAGGAAGCCCCGGCUAACUACGUGCCAGCAGCCGCGGUAAUACGUAGGGGGCAAGCGUUGUCCGGAAUUAUUGGGCGUAAAGGGUGCGUAGGCGGCCUUUUAAGUCAGAUUUGAAAGACCACGGCUUAACCGUGGGGUUGCAUUUGAAACUGGAGGGCUUGAGUAUCGGAGAGGGUAGUGGAAUUCCCAGUGUAGCGGUAGAAUGCGUAGAUAUUGGGAGGAACACCAGUGGCGAAGGCGACUACCUGGACGAAAACUGACGCUGAUGCACGAAAGCUAGGGGAGCAAACAG
RNAcentral lists this ribosomal RNA (408 nucleotides) under uncultured bacterium. RNAcentral describes it as "partial 16S ribosomal RNA". It matches the Rfam family "Bacterial small subunit ribosomal RNA", at positions 360 to 775 of the family's 1533-position model. The record is from RNAcentral.